UCAAGCUACAAAGAGCACAAGGGGAAUGCCUUGGCACCGAGAGCCGAAGAAGGACGUGACUAACUGCGAUAAGCUGCGGGGAGCCGUAAGUAGGCUUUGAUCCGCAGAUUUCCGAAUGGAGCAAUCCGGCAAGAGGAAAGUCUUGUCAUCAUAUACUGAAUACAUAGGUAUAUGAGGGGAACCGCCUGAACUGAAACAUCUAAGUAGGGCGAGGAAGAGAAAUCAACCGAGAUUCUGUGAGUAGUGGCGAGCGAAAGCGGAAGAGGCUAAACCAUAGGUAGCAAUACUUAUGGGGUUUCGGACAGCAUUUAGCAUUGAUAAUUUCUAGUUGAAACGUGUGGGAAAACGUACCGAGGAGUGUGAGAGUCACGUAAGCGAAAGAGAAAGUCAGCGAGCUGUAUCCAAAGUACCGCGGGACACGUGAAACCCCGUGGGAAGAUGGGGGGACCAUCCUCCAAGCCUAAAUACUACCUAAUGACCGAUAGCGAAUAGUACUGUGAAGGAACGGUGAAAAGAACCCCGGGAGGGGAGUGAAAAAGAACCUGAAACCCUAUGCUUACAAGCACCGAGAGCACGUCAAAGUGUGAUCGGGUACCUUUUGUAGAAUGGUCCGGCGAGUUAUUGUAUGCGGCAAGGUUAAGUGCUUAAGGCACGGAGCCGAAGCGAGAGCAAGUCUGAAUAGGGCGAAAGAGUCGUAUGCAAUAGACCCGAAACCGAGUGACCUAUCCAUGUCCAGGCUGAAGUGGAGGUAAAACUCCAUGGAGGGCCGAACACACGUCCGUUGAAAAGGCCGGUGAUGAGGUGUGGAUAGCGGAGAAAUUCCAAUCGAACUCGGAUAUAGCUGGUUCUCUCCGAAAUAGCUUUAGGGCUAGCCUCGUGAAAGAUUACUGGAGGUAAAGCACUGAAUGGGCUAGGGGUCGAAAGAUUACUGAACCCUAUCAAACUAAGAAUGCCAGAUAAUUGAUUCACGGGAGUCAGACAAUGUGAGAUAAGUCUCAUUGUCAAAAGGGAAACAGCCCAGACCCACAGCUAAGGUCCCUAAACAUUGUUAAGUGGAAAAGGAUGUGGGGUUGCAUAAACAACCAGGAUGUUGGCUUAGAAGCAGCCACUCAUUAAAAGAGUGCGUAAUAGCUCACUGGUCGAGUGACUCUGCGCGGAAAAUAUAACGGGGCUAAGCAUGAAACCGAAGCUUGGGCUUGUCGUAAGACAGGGGUAGGGGAGCGUCGAGUAUGGGGUGAAGUCAGAGCGGAAGCACUGGUGGACUGUACUCGAGUGAGAAUGCCGGAAUGAGUAGCGAGAAUUAUGUGGGAAUCAUAAUGGCCGAAAAUCUAAGGUUUCUUGGGGAAGGUUCGUCCGCCCAAGGUAAGUCGGGAGCUAAGCUCAGGCCGCGAGGCGUAGGCGAUGCACAUACGGUAGAAAUUCCGUAACCACCGAACUUUAAGCAUGAGGGACACUUUGAGAUAGCGGAACCCGGGCGUUGGUUGACCCGGGCGAAAGGGACCGAAAUAUAGUAGGGAAGUCCGCGAUGCUCGGAGGCGAGAAAAGCUCAUGUGUAUACUAAGGUGCCCGUACCGCAAACCGACACAGGUAGAUGAGGAGAGAAUCCUAAGGCCAACGGGAGAAGGGUUGUUAAGGAACUCGGCAAAUUGACCCCGUAACUUCGGGAGAAGGGGUGCUCCAGAGAUGGAGCCGCAGAGAAUCGGCCCAAGCAACUGUUUACCAAAAACACAGGUUUGUGCUAAAUCGAAAGAUGACGUAUACGAGCUGACGCCUGCCCGGUGCUGGAAGGUUAAGAGGAGAUGUGCAAGCAUUGAAUCGAAGCCCCAGUGAACGGCGGCCGUAACUAUAACGGUCCUAAGGUAGCGAAAUUCCUUGUCAGGUAAG
RNAcentral lists this ribosomal RNA (1884 nucleotides) under human gut metagenome. RNAcentral describes it as "bacterial LSU rRNA". It matches the Rfam family "Bacterial large subunit ribosomal RNA", at positions 3 to 1980 of the family's 2925-position model. The record is from RNAcentral.